This 148-nucleotide unclassified non-coding RNA is filed under the name uncultured fungus. Its description in RNAcentral is "sequence contains ITS1, 5.8S rRNA gene". Lineage: Eukaryota; Fungi. The record is from RNAcentral.
CAGGAUUCGCAAGAACUCCCGUAACCACUGUGAACCUUACCUUCUGUUGCCUCGGCGGGCGCUGGUCUCGACCAGCGCUCACGCCCGCCGACGGCCCACAACUCAUUGUCUGACUCUAAGCAUCUCCGAGCCAUACACAAACGAAUCA